Molecule: ribosomal RNA, 444 nt
Filed under: uncultured bacterium
Lineage: Bacteria
Description: bacterial SSU rRNA
Rfam family: Bacterial small subunit ribosomal RNA
Source: RNAcentral
CCUACGGGUGGCUGCAGUCGAGAAUCUUCCGCAAUGGACGAAAGUCUGACGGAGCGACGCCGCGUGGUGGAUGAAGUCCUUAGGGACGUAAACACCUUUUAUGAGGGAGGAAUUUUAUUGACGUUACCUCAUGAAUAAGGGGCUCCCAACUCUGUGCCAGCAGGAGCGGUAAUACAGAGGCCUCAAGCGUUAUCCGGAUUCACUGGGCGUAAAGGGUGCGUGGGCGGUUAUAUCAGCCGGGUGUUAAAUCCUUGGGCUCAACCCAAGAAUCGCAUUCGAAACCGUAUAACUAGAAGAAGUCAGAGGUAAACAGAACCCUCGGUGUAGGGGUGAAAUCCGUUGAUAUCGAGGGGAAUACCAAAUGCGAAGGCAGUUUGCUGGGACUUUCUUGACGCUGAGGCACGAAAGCGUGGGUAGCGAAUGGGAUUAGAUACCCGGGUAGUC